This 254-nucleotide ribosomal RNA is filed under the name uncultured bacterium. Its description in RNAcentral is "partial 16S ribosomal RNA". It matches the Rfam family "Bacterial small subunit ribosomal RNA", at positions 524 to 776 of the family's 1533-position model. The record is from RNAcentral.
UACGUAGGGGGCGAGCGUUGUCCGGAUUUAUUGGGCGUAAAGAGCUCGUAGGUGGUUUGAUAAGUCGGAUGUGAAAUCUCCAGGCUCAACCUGGAGCUGCCAUUCGAUACUGUCAUGACUUGAGUCCGGUAGGGGACCACGGAAUUCCUGGUGUAGCGGUGAGAUGCGCAGAUAUCAGGAGGAACACCGGUGGCGAAGGCGGUGGUCUGGGCCGGAACUGACGCUGAGGAGCGAAAGCGUGGGUAGCAAACAGG